CCUACGGGGGGCAGCAGUAGGGAAUAUUGCUCAAUGGGGGAAACCCUGAAGCAGCAACGCCGCGUGGAGGAUGAAGGUUUUCGGAUUGUAAACUCCUUUUGUUAGAGAAGAUAAUGACGGUAUCUAACGAAUAAGCACCGGCUAACUCCGUGCCAGCAGCCGCGGUAAUACGGAGGGGGCAAGCGUUAUCCGGAAUCACUGGGCGUAAAGAGAGCGUAGGCGGGAUAGCAAGUCAGAUGUGAAAUCCUACGGCUUAACCAGAGAACUGCAUUUGAAACUGUUAGUCUUGAGUAUGGGAGAGGUAGGUGGAAUUCUUGGUGUAGGGGUAAAAUGCGUAGAGAUCAAGAGGAAUACUCAUUGCGAAGGCGACCUGCUAGAACAUAACUGACGCUGAUGCGCGAAAGCGUGGGGAGCAAACAGGAUUAGAUACCCGUGUAGUC
RNAcentral lists this ribosomal RNA (440 nucleotides) under uncultured bacterium. Its description in RNAcentral is "partial 16S ribosomal RNA". It matches the Rfam family "Bacterial small subunit ribosomal RNA", at positions 338 to 795 of the family's 1533-position model. The record is from RNAcentral.